This is a non-coding RNA of Xenorhabdus bovienii SS-2004, 68 nucleotides long. Lineage: Bacteria; Pseudomonadati; Pseudomonadota; Gammaproteobacteria; Enterobacterales; Morganellaceae. The record is from Rfam.
AAAAGCACGACAUUGCUCACAUUGCUUCCAGUGUUUUUAUUAGCCAGCUCGGGUGCUGGCUAUUUUUU